AGGAGCCAUGCGUACACGCCGGUGCUGCGCGCACCAUCCACACCCAGCUGAAGACUGCUCGCUAAUUUCUGUCAGCC
Molecule: small RNA, 77 nt
Filed under: Xanthomonas sp. 4461
Lineage: Bacteria; Pseudomonadati; Pseudomonadota; Gammaproteobacteria; Lysobacterales; Lysobacteraceae
Description: sRNA sX9
Rfam family: Xanthomonas sRNA sX9
Source: RNAcentral